This 372-nucleotide ribosomal RNA is filed under the name Triticum aestivum (bread wheat). RNAcentral describes it as "partial small subunit ribosomal RNA". The record is from RNAcentral. Lineage: Eukaryota; Viridiplantae; Streptophyta; Magnoliopsida; Poales; Poaceae.
AUGCCUACGCUAAUCCAUUAUGUGCAAUCUGGGUUUAUCAAGGGUCGUGGAAUUGCGGACAACUUCCUCCUAGCUGCUGACAUUGUGCAAGCUUGCUAUAAACGUAAAAUUCCAACGAUCGUUCUAAAAUUAGACUUUCAAAAAGCCUUCGACUCCGUGUCUUGGGACGCCCUAUCUCGUAUCCUACAGGCUAAAGGAUUCCCUGCACUUUGGUGUAGGUGGAUCGAAUCCCUAAAUUGCUUGAGCAGUUCUGCAGUAGUUCUUAAUGGGAAGCCCGGGCCUUGGUUUCCUUGUCGGCGAGGCUUCCGUCAGGGCGACUCCCUCUCUCCUUACCUGUUCAUUAUAGUGGCUGACGUUCUACAACGUUUGAUU